Molecule: long non-coding RNA, 3759 nt
Filed under: Linum usitatissimum (flax)
Lineage: Eukaryota; Viridiplantae; Streptophyta; Magnoliopsida; Malpighiales; Linaceae
Description: long non-coding RNA (LUSI_LNC007163)
Source: RNAcentral
GAUAACCAGAAUGGCAUCAUGCACUUUAGAAAUGGCAAAUGAGUGGGAAAAACAGCUUGCUUCUGGAUCUUCUGAGGUAGAAGUAAAUUCAGUGUUUCAGAAACUUACUGCUGAUAUAAUUUCUCACACUUCCUUUGGAAGUAGCUACCUUGAAGGAAUACAAGUCUUCAAAGCAUUACAACAUCUCCAGAGCCGCAAUGCAGCUGUACUUACUAAUGUUUUCAUCCCUGGAACCCAGUAUGUAUGCAUAUAAACAACUCAUUUCACAAAUAUCUCAUUAUUUUGAUUCAUACUAAAAGUACCAGUCUUUGUUUUUUUUGUAGGUAUCUUCCUACGCCAUCGAAUCUGGAGAUAUGGAAGCUAAAUAGGGAACUUACUACCUCACUUAGGAGCAUCAUUGAGAACAGGUUAAGAUCGAAUUCUGGCAAAGGUGGUGGUGGUGGUUAUGGAGACGAUCUCCUUGGUAUUAUGAUUGAAGCCUCCGAAUUGGCUGAUGCUGACACCAAGAGCAGCAUCACUACUACCAAGAUGAACAUGAAAGAAAUCAUGGACGAAUGCAGAACAUUCUUCUUCGCAGGCCACGAGACCACCUCCAAUCUGUUAACAUGGGCCCUUUUCCUUGUUACCGUGCACCAAGAAUGGCAGCAAAUGCUCAGGGAAGAAGUGCUCAAGCAGUGUGGGAUGAACAUUCCAGAUGCUGAUUCAUUGCCAAAGCUCAAACUGGUACCUUCAAAAUCGUAUAUUCUGUUGUUCAUGAUCGGUUGGUUAUGCUAUGAACGUCUCAAUAACUCGAGUUGUUGGAAGAGAGUUGAGACUACUUUUUAUAUUAUUUCUUUAACAGAUUUGUUUUUAUAUUACUUCAUCAUAUACUAUUUUUUUUAUGAAUGCUCUAUAGAUGAAUAUGGUGCUACUGGAGACACUGAGGCUGUACAGCCCUGCAAUAGAGACUCUGAGGAAGGCAACUGAAGACAUGAAACUGGGGAAGUUGGAUAUACCGAAAGGAACCUCUUUCUCAAUCCCAAUCAUCAUGAUCCAGAGGAGCAAGGAAUUCUGGGGAGAGGAUUCAAAUGAGUUCAAGCCAAUGAGAUUCGAGAAUGGAGUCUCUAACGCUGCAAAACACCCCAAUGCUUUCCUGGCCUUCGGGAUGGGUCCAAGAGUCUGUAUUGGACAGAACUUCUCGAUGAUGGAAGCCAAAUCUGUGAUUGCACUGCUCCUCCAGAGGUUUUCCUUCACCCUUUCUCCUCAAUAUAAGCAUGCUCCGGUCAACAACCUCACUUUACAGCCCCAAUAUGGCCUUCCUCUCAUUGUUAAGCCUCUCCAAAUGUAAUGACUUGUCAGAGAGAAGUCUACUAAGAGGGAGAUUUCUUAACCUCCCCCAUGUAUCAAAUAGUUUGAAUUGAAAUAUAUGGAGCCUAAAAUAAUAUAGCUGUUAUUAAUUUCAGCAGGAAAUAAUACACACAUACACCAUAAUUAUUUAGUCUAUCCAUAUAGAAGUUGGACAAAGAAUGAACUAUUACACAGCCACAUACACAAACAAUUAUCAUGAAGAAGAAGCCACUCAACAGUAAGACUGGUGGCAAUAAGUAAUGGACAAGAGAAGAGCAGCCAUGGUAGGUAGAAUUCGGUGGUUGUAGGAAUUAGUAGCUGAAGAAAAAAGGAAUAAAAAUAGCUUAGGAUGAUGAUAUGCAUCCUGAAGAUUGUUGCUUUUUAAAGUAUGGAAGGUUUCUGGUUGAUUCUUGUCGUUCAUUUCAUUAAAUUCUCUAUAGAUUUCAUUUUAUUUCUGUUCCUUCAAUUAGUACUACAGACAAGUAAAUCGACCUCUCCUUCGAAAGGAAAAGAUUAUUGCAGGUUUCUGAAUUCCAGUAUAUUACCAAGGUCUCAAGACUUUUGUUUUCUCAUUUUAAUGUCUGACGUUUUUUUUUUGAAGUAGUCUGAUGUUAUUUUAAUGUUACUAGGUGUUUUUUUGAAGUAUUCUGAUGUCAUUUUAAUGUUACUUUGAAGUAGUCUGAUGUCAUUUUAAUGUUACUAGGUGUUUCCGUUUACUUUCACUAGGUUGUAGGUGAACGCGAUAUCUGUUAUUUGUUAGUUGAUUUGUAGGCAUUUUUGUUCAUCUGUGCAUUAAUUUAAAAAUAAAUUGUACUUUGUUAAUUUGGUUUGAUUGGAUGGUUAUCUUAAAAAUAAUAGCCGGAAAUGAGAUAUUUUCUUCAAGUAAGAGCUAAUAAAGUGCGAACCUGGCCCAUCUGUACUGGUUUUUGGAUUACAAGCCGCAAUACUUCAUUAAUCUGGUUUGGUUGUCGAGUCGAAAUCAGCAAAGUAAUAGCUCGAAAUGAGAUAUCUUCUAUGAGUUUUUUACCAAAAUAAAGUAAAGGUACGUAUUAAGUGAGCAUAAGAAACCUGAGGUGGCAAAUAAAGCAUACUAAUUAUAGUUUCUGGAAGAUUAAAACCUCGUAUAGUAAAAUACAUAGUUUGUGGAAACAGAGAGACAGUUGAGUCCAUUACGCAAACACCCCAUUCGAGUGGCUACCAUUCCUAAUCCACACUAUCAUCUAAUUGCCUAGAGAAAAAACACUGAUACUGUCUCUUAUCUUCAACUCCAGUCUGUCAUCUUUGCCUAAGCAAUGAUCUCACAUCCCAAUACUGACAAAGAUGUUACAAUCAUAUCUACCUCCUCCUUCUCUAAGGCUACUGUAUAAAUCUCAGUCCUAUCGUGUACCAUAAACGCACAAACACAAAGGGAUAGGACUGAAAUGGGUUCUGCACUACUGGGUGGUCUGGUGGUAGCUCUGCUGGUGAUUCUAACAACGAAUCUUUUGCUGCAGCUGUUGAAGACCCUCUUGUGGAGACCUUAUGCCUUAACCAAAUACUUCCAGAAACAAGGAAUCACUGGCCCUCCUUACCGUAUACUCUAUGGAUCUCUUCCGGAGAUGAAACAACUCGGCCUAGAAGCCAAGGGCAUGGUGUUGGAUAACCACUCCAAUGACAUCACUCCCAAAAUCAUGCCUCACUAUCACAACUGGUUCUCCAAAUAUGGUGAGACUGAGAACUACUUAAGUCACUCAACUUCUCGACUCUCUGGCUAUUUUUCAACAUAACUUGUGGUGGUGCAGGAGAUACUCUUCUGUAUUGGUACGGAGUGGAGCCUAGGAUUACUGUGAUGGAUCCUGAACUAGUUAAACAAAUCUUGUCCAACAAGUUUGGUUUCUUCGUCAAAUCCUUGUACAGGCCGUCUUUAGUGAUAGGAGAAGGGUUGGUUUUGUUAGAUGGACCUGCGUGGGCUAGGCGGAGAAGGACUCUCAACCCCGCCUUCUCCAUGGAUAAGCUCAAGGUCUCUCUUGUUCUACUUCUUUUUUUGGCUUCUUAUACUUGAACAAGAUUUGAGCUUUUUUUGUUGGUUGGUUAUGGAUUGCUGCAGGUAAUGAUAACCAGAAUGGCAUCAUGCACUUUAGAAAUGGCAAAUGAGUGGGAAAAACAGCUUGCUUCUGGAUCUUCUGAGGUAGAAGUAAAUUCAGUGUUUCAGAAACUUACUGCUGAUAUAAUUUCUCACACUUCCUUUGGAAGUAGCUACCUUGAAGGAAUACAAGUCUUCAAAGCAUUACAACAUCUCCAGAGCCGCAAUGCAUCUGUACUUACUAAUGUUUUCAUCCCUGGAACCCAGUAUGUAUGCAUAUAAACAACUCAUUUCACAAAUAUCUCAUUAUUUUGAUUCAUACUAAAAGUACCAGUCUUUGUUUUUUUUGUAGGUAUCUUCCUACGCCAUCG